AUGAGGAGAUUGCCUCUGUUAGCCAAGAAUGGCUUGCCUAUCUCCACUAUUUGGUUCAUCACUGGAACACACUUGGGGUUCUCAGAUGGUGGAUGAAAUAUGGAAGAUGGUGAGCCUUCAUGGCUAAGAGAGUGAUUCUCAU
This 142-nucleotide microRNA precursor is filed under the name Oryza sativa Indica Group (long-grained rice). Its description in RNAcentral is "osa-MIR1430". The stretch from base 19 to 129 matches the Rfam family "MIR169 microRNA precursor family". The record is from RNAcentral. Lineage: Eukaryota; Viridiplantae; Streptophyta; Magnoliopsida; Poales; Poaceae.